This 44-nucleotide ribosomal RNA is filed under the name Purpureocillium lilacinum. RNAcentral describes it as "partial 28S ribosomal RNA". RNAcentral also lists the same sequence under 8 other names. Lineage: Eukaryota; Fungi; Ascomycota; Sordariomycetes; Hypocreales; Ophiocordycipitaceae. The record is from RNAcentral.
GACCUCGGAUCAGGUAGGAAUACCCGCUGAACUUAAGCAUAUCA